AACGCUGGCGGCGUGGAUAAGACAUGCAAGUCGAACGAGAAACUUACUUAGCUUGCUUUGAAAGUUUCUAGUGGCGGACGGGUGAGUAACACGUGAGUUACCUGCCCCGAAGUGGGGGAUAGCCUUCCGAAAGGGAGAUUAAUACCCCAUGUGAUCGCAAGAUUAAAGGCGGCCAUCUUUGAUGGCUGUCGCUUCGGGAUGGGCUCGCGGCCUAUCAGCUAGUUGGUGAGGUAACUGCUUACCAAGGCGAUGACGGGUAGCUGGUCUGAGAGGACGACCAGUCACACUGGAACUGAGACACGGUCCAGACACCUACGGGUGGCAGCAGUCGAGAAUCAUUCGCAAUGGGCGAAAGCCUGACGGUGCGACGCCGCGUGGAGGAUGAAGGCCCUAGGGUCGUAAACUCCUGUCAUCAGGGAGUAAUGGCUCACGUAGUAACUGCCGUGAGCAGUGAUAGUACCUGAAGAGGAAGGGACGGCAAA
RNAcentral lists this ribosomal RNA (482 nucleotides) under uncultured bacterium. Its description in RNAcentral is "bacterial SSU rRNA". It matches the Rfam family "Bacterial small subunit ribosomal RNA", at positions 32 to 500 of the family's 1533-position model. The record is from RNAcentral.